Molecule: non-coding RNA, 363 nt
Organism: Mustela lutreola (European mink)
Lineage: Eukaryota; Metazoa; Chordata; Mammalia; Carnivora; Mustelidae
Source: the annotation of a RefSeq genome assembly
CUUUUAAAAGGUGUCCAGUGUGAGGUGCAGCUGGUGGAGUCUGGAGGAGACCUGGUGAAGCCUGGGGGGAUCCCUGAGUCUCUCUGUGCAGCCUCUGGAUUCACCUUCAGUAGAUACUUUAUGAACUGGGUCCGCCAGACUCCAAGGAAUGGGCUGCAGAGGGUCCCAGAUAUUAGCAAUGAUGGAAGUAGCACAAGCUACACAGACUUUGUGAAGGGCCGAUUCACCAUCCCCAGAAACAAUGGCAAGAACAUGCUGUAUCUGCAGAUGAACAGCCUGAGAGCUGAGGACACAGCUGUGUAUUACUGGGUGAGAGACACAGGGAGUUUCAUUUUCUUUUUCCUCUCAUUUGGGUGGGGAACC